AUUUUUGAUAAUCAACCAUUUUAAGCAUUGGUGUUUCAUUCGAACUUUUCCAUCUUCCAUUCAUCAUCUGCAUUGACAAAAGGGUGCCAUAGUGUUAUACUGUCUGUCUCUUGUUUGAUUUCUCAAGCCAUUACUGAGAGAAGAAGCAACCAGAAGGAUGGAAGAUGGGACACGUGUCCCGUGAUCCACCUGACGUCUGUGUUGAAAUGAGCCACCUCCACACGUGCCAUGGUUUCAACAGUAGCCUUUCAUUCUUUAACCUCCACAUUUUCAGCACAUCCAACCCAGGCAGAAAGAAUUAUUUUUUCAACAAAAGAUGGAAACUAAUAUGUUCUGAAUGGACAGGAACUGGGCGAGCGAGAAAUAGAGUUGCACUGGGAUAGACACGUCCGUAAAUGUACUCUGAGCCCCAGAGCAGACACGUGUAGUGGCUGUCAUCACAUGUACAUCAUCACGUGCCACGUGUUCCCAAACAAAGGCGUGAACAUGGACAAUAGAUCAGGAGAAUUUGAGCUUUACUCUGUUCUUUAAAUUGACUGCAUAUGACAGUGUUUUUCUUAGUGGUUUUAUAGAAGCUAUUGUGUCAGGUAAUCAGAGCAUUACAGAAUCUGUGCAAUGUGGAAAUGUUUGAGACUGUAGAGUUGGGACCUGGCAUCAGAUGUACAAAAAUAGCACAAAUCAGCAGAUGUCAUCUAUUUCAUUUGACACAGACUAAAUAAGAGCAUAGACUGUACUUAUGUCAAUCAAAUUAUCAUUUGUUUGUUUGUUCUAUCUAGUAUUCGUUCUUAGUUUGUUCAUUCAUGUAAUCUGCAUGUCAUUUUAUCCAUCCAUCUAUACCAUCCAUCUGUCUGUCCAUCCAUCUAUCCAUCCAUCCAUCCAUCCAUCCAUCCAUCCAAAUUCAAAAUCUCAGAAUUUAACUUUAAGAAUUCAUCGAUUCUAGAUUGUUAUAAAUAUGGUUAUUUGUACUGAAUUGUUAAAUCUUGAAAAAGCAUUUAGCAAACAUUCAUUUUAUACUAAAUAUAUUAUUUACAUGCGCUACUGUUCAAACGUUUAGUCUCUUAUGCUCACCAAUGUUUCGUUUAUUUGAUCAAAAUUAUAGUAAAAAU
Long non-coding RNA from Cyprinus carpio carpio, 1106 nucleotides. Lineage: Eukaryota; Metazoa; Chordata; Actinopteri; Cypriniformes; Cyprinidae. The record is from Ensembl.